CUCGCCUGCGUCGCCGGCGCCUCUCCCUAGCUCGUGUCGCCGGUGCCUCUCCCUUGCCCGCGUCGCCGGUGCCUCUCCAUUGGCUCCGUCGUCGGUGCCAAGAUCUCAUUUUUAUUCUCCGGUGGCUGAUUUCGAGUGCGUCGGCUCGAUCUGCAACGGCCUUCCUCCACUCCAACGCCGACGAUGCCAUGGAAGGGCCACCAUGACCAGGAGCAGGACGACGCCUUGGAAGGUUCACCGACAGGAGCAACUACGUACGGUCUGAUCUUCUCCACUGACAGGGAUAUCGACAUGGAGGUCCGCCAUGGAAGGCCUGGAGCUCGUCAUGGAGGGGCCCUCCUCUCUCUUCCCCUCCCUCUACUCUGUUGGUUGGUUGGACGAAAGACCACCGCUCGUCCGGCUCUCCUUCUUCCACCGUUGCUCCCCUCCCACCAUAGUGCCACAGACGCUAUGCCAAGCACGGAAGAUUCGGGGAGCCGCCUCGAUCCAGAGUACUCGCAAUCCAUUAUAGGGCAAUUCAAAUCCUGCCUCUGGAAGCAUUGGUUGACCUAUUGGCACAACCCAAAUUACAACCUUGUCAGAUUUUCCUUCACUUUGUUCACAGCCUUGCUGCUUGGCUCCAUCCUUUGGAAGAUUGGCACCAUUAUGGGUGGAUGCCAAUACUCUUAGAAUGGUCAUUGGAGCAAUAUACACAACAAUGAUGUUUGUCCCCAUCAACAACUGUGCAACCGUUCAACCAAUUGUUUUAAUCGAGAGAACAGUUUGUACAGAGAGAGGGCUGCUCCAUUGCUCAGCUACUUAUGCAGCGAGGGUACAGGUUGUUCUAGAUGGCUCUGUAGACAGUGAGAAUGAGGAGACUCAAACCCAUGAAGAUUCUAAUGAGGAAAUCGAUUAUGAUAAAUAACAACACAGAUCAUGUGUUGACCUGGCUCUGCUGGCCAAACAGGCAUGGCGUCUCCUUGAUAAUCCCGACUCAUUGUGUGCUACUAUUCUAAGGGCCAAGUAUUACCCUGAUGGUGAUUUGCUGAACUCCAAGCCAAAACAUGGUGCUUCCUUCACCUGGCAAAGCAUUAUGGCAGGCAUUACUACUCUCAAGCGUGGCUAUAUUUGGCGAGUGGGGGAUGGACAUAACAUCAAUAUCUGGGAAGAUGUUUGGAUGCCAAAUUAUGCCACUAGAAAGAUUAUGACCCCUAAGGGGGGACAUUUGUUAUUAAAAGUGGUUGAUUUGAUUGACCCGGCCUCCAAUAAUUGGGAUGAGGACCUGAUUAGACAAACUAUGUGGUCCAUUGACGCACAACGGUUUCUUUCAAUCCCAAUUUCGCAACAUAAUAUGACAAAUUUUAUUGCCUGGAGUUAUAUGAAAAAUGGUAUGUUUUCGAUACGGUCUGCUUACCAUGUGGAGUGGAAUUAUCAGUAUGGGAGUAAAUUAAAACAUUCCAACGGGAUGGGGCGAACCACACCUAAUCCUAUAUGGUGUCAGAUAUGGAAGUUAUCUUGUCCGGCAAAAGUCAAAAUCUUUUUAUGGCGGACACUACAUGGCACUCUUCCAUGUCGGGCAACACUGACUAAUAGACACAUGAAGGUCUCGCCUCUUUGUCCUUCCUGCUCUCAGGGUGUAGAAGAUACAAAGCACAUGCUUUUCCUAUGUAUAAAAUCAAAGGAUAUUUGAAAAA
This is a long non-coding RNA of Triticum dicoccoides, 1673 nucleotides long. RefSeq lists it as uncharacterized. NCBI's taxonomy places the organism in Eukaryota, Viridiplantae, Streptophyta, Magnoliopsida, Poales, Poaceae. The transcript is spliced from 6 exons. The record is from RefSeq and is a predicted model, not a curated record.